AUCCUGCUUUGGCAGAACAUAUACUAAAACUGGAACUUCUCUGGAUAUGGAGAUUAGCACAGCCCCUGUGCCAGGAUGACGGGCGAAUGUGUGAGGCAUGCCUUAUGUUU
RNAcentral lists this small nuclear RNA (110 nucleotides) under Vicugna pacos (alpaca). Lineage: Eukaryota; Metazoa; Chordata; Mammalia; Artiodactyla; Camelidae. The record is from RNAcentral.